GAUCAAAAGCGAGCCAGCGAAAGGGGCGACUUCCAAGGAUCCUGCCGACAGCAGCAACGCGGAGCUAAAGUGUUUAGGUGCGGGAGCUACCGACGACAACUCCAAGGAAAAGCAAGUCGCAGAUCUAACGACGGCAGAACGGCAGGAGCUUCAGAUGAAGAAGGCCAAACUCAUCAACAUGCUCGACGAGGUAAUAAUACAUAUGACAAAUGCUUUAAAGAGUUUUUUUUUUCUUCUAAUUUUUGAACAAAAUAUUUUUUUGAAGUCACUACCAACAAUUUUCGAGAAUAAAGCACAGAUUUUUCGGGGAAUUUUAGUUGGUUAUUAGGAACAUCUAAUCUAAGAGGGAACAGAACUGGCAACACAAGAACUACUCCCUUAUACCUUAAGCUCAUGGUAGUUUUGGUCCAGUAAUUGGCGCUUAGAACAGAGAAGAUAUAUAUAUAUGACGUCUUCGAUGUUCUCAUCUGUUGUGUUCCUUACUGUUUUGGUCGUUGAGCUGUCGACUUACUCCUUCUACUUUGGGU
Molecule: long non-coding RNA, 527 nt
Filed under: Musa acuminata (dwarf banana)
Lineage: Eukaryota; Viridiplantae; Streptophyta; Magnoliopsida; Zingiberales; Musaceae
Description: long non-coding RNA (MACU_LNC003232)
Source: RNAcentral